RNAcentral lists this ribosomal RNA (868 nucleotides) under Desulfovibrio sp. AU744. Its description in RNAcentral is "bacterial SSU rRNA". It matches the Rfam family "Bacterial small subunit ribosomal RNA", at positions 60 to 922 of the family's 1533-position model. The record is from RNAcentral. Lineage: Bacteria; Pseudomonadati; Thermodesulfobacteriota; Desulfovibrionia; Desulfovibrionales; Desulfovibrionaceae.
AGUCGAACGCGAAAGUCUCUUCGGAGAUGAGUAGAGUGGCGCACGGGUGAGUAACGCGUGGAUAAUCUACCUAUUGGUACGGGACAACAGUUGGAAACGACUGCUAAUACCGUAUAAGCUGGAAACGGGAAAGGGGGCCUCUUCUUGAAAGCUCUCGCCAGUAGAUGAGUCCGCGUUUCAUUAGCUAGACGGUGGGGUAACGGCCUACCGUGGCAACGAUGAAUAGCAGGCCUGAGAGGGUGGCCUGCCACACUGGGACUGGAACACGGCCCAGACUCCUACGGGAGGCAGCAGUGGGGAAUAUUGCGCAAUGGACGAAAGUCUGACGCAGCGACGCCGCGUGGAGGAUGAAGGUUUUCGGAUCGUAAACUCCUGUCAAGAGGGAAGAAACCUAUUGAGAAUAAUACUCUUAGUAAUUGACGGUACCUCUAGAGGAAGCACCGGCUAAUUCAGUGCCAGCAGCCGCGGUAAUACUGAAGGUGCAAGCGUUAAUCGGAAUCACUGGGCGUAAAGCGCUCGUAGGUGGCUUUGUAAGUCAGAUGUGAAAGCCCACGGCUCAACCGUGGAAUUGCAUUUGAUACUGCAUCGCUAGAGUAUAGGAGAGGGAAGUGGAAUUUCUGGUGUAGGAGUGAAAUCCGUAGAGAUCAGAAGGAACACCGGUGGCGAAGGCGACUUCCUGGACUAUUACUGACACUGAGGAGCGAAAGCGUGGGGAGCAAACAGGAUUAGAUACCCUGGUAGUCCACGCCGUAAACGAUGGGUACUAAGUGUCGGAGGCUUGACCUUCGGUGCUGUAGUUAACGCGUUAAGUACCCCGCCUGGGGAGUACGGUCGCAAGGCUGAAACUCAAAGAAAUUGACGGGGGCCC